GCUGAGAACUACGAUUUCAUCGGCAGCGAUCUUACUCCUUUCGGCAAGCUUCCUGACCUCUGCUGCCACAACAGCAAAUCCUUUACCGUGCUCUCCUGCCCGAGCAGCUUCCACAGCUGCGUUCAGGGCCAAAAUAUUGGUCU
This 143-nucleotide ribosomal RNA is filed under the name uncultured eukaryote. Its description in RNAcentral is "partial small subunit ribosomal RNA". The record is from RNAcentral.